Long non-coding RNA from Brassica napus (rape), 533 nucleotides. RefSeq lists it as uncharacterized. The transcript is spliced from 2 exons. Lineage: Eukaryota; Viridiplantae; Streptophyta; Magnoliopsida; Brassicales; Brassicaceae. The record is from RefSeq and is a predicted model, not a curated record.
UACCUAAACUAUCCUAGUUUCAUAUACCAAUUCAUAUAUGAUCUGCACAAGACUAUCUUAGAACCAGUUUGUAACAACCCGCCCCGUGGGACCCAGGCUCACAGCGCUGCAGCGCACCGACCCCAACCCCUCCAUUAUGGGAACUACCUGCCCCAUAAUUAGGUUGUUGGUGAGAUUCGAACCCCCGACCUCACCCUUUAACAGCCUUCCCACAAGACAAGCUGUCACCAAUUGACCCCAAACUAUCCCCAAAGGCCAUUUUGUCUUUCUUUAAAAGAGAAAGAAAGAAAGAAAGAAAGAAAGAAAGAGAAAGAGAGAGAGAGAGAGGAAGAAGAGGAAGGGAGAAAGCUUACCUGAGUUGCCACCGGAGCCACCGCGCCUCGAGACCACGUUGAGCUCGUCACCACCGUCCGCUGCAGCUUAGAAUCGCCGGAAACCGCCAUGCAACCAUCAUCGUGUUCCUCUCGACGAGACGAAGCCGUAGCCGCCGACCGCGCCUCAAUCGGAGUCCGGACGAAGCCGUACGCGCCCCC